UCGAAUCAUUUUAAAGAAUCACAUGAAUCUCUUCAUGAAUUCGUUUACGGACGAGACUGAAUCAGUAACUGUGCUUCUCGAGUCAACAACUCACCAAUUCAUUUGAAAAUCAUUCAAGAACAUCAUCUUUUCCAGACUUUUGAAUUCGUAAUGAAAGAAAAUUAAGCUGGUAAUCAUUUUGAGUGACCAAAUGGGGUGAAAGGCGACUGAUGCAAGAUUGUGAACAAAUAUCUCCAGCGCAGGCCGAAGCAGAAGGCGAAUGCAGUGCGAUACCGUAAAACAUGUGAGCCCGGUCGAAGCGGAUGAUGAGUUACAUAAAAAGUCAGGCAGAAGGGGACUGAACAUCAUCCAAGAUCUUAUUAGAGACAAAGAAGCAUUCUCCUCUUCUCUGUCAAGGGUCCUCUCCGUCUGAAAGGAAAGUGCAUGUUCUUGAUUUCUAACACAUGUAUCAGAACACAUAAAACAGUGUCUGUAGGACUGCAGGACUGCUCUUGAUGUGCUGGGAAAGAGAGUUUAGGCCAGCGGUGAUUUGCGGAGCCCACAUUACUUAUUCCGCUCUGAUCGUUUUCAUCCUCAAAUACGCUGCAAGGAAAGUCAGGCUGAUCCUGCAGGACGCAGAGACUCUAAACAAACAUAUUAGUGGUGUUUGUUUGCUUUCUGGACAGCCAUGGGUAAUGUUGACUUGAUUACUUGCACUCCUUUUUUUAAUUGUAUUUAACUGACAGCAAAGACAAAAAGGAAAUAAUCAUGUAACAUAUAAAUGUAUUUUCUAGUUCCACAAAAAUGUUAAC
Danio aesculapii is the source of this 791-nucleotide long non-coding RNA. RefSeq lists it as uncharacterized. The record is from RefSeq and is a predicted model, not a curated record. The transcript has 3 exons. Lineage: Eukaryota; Metazoa; Chordata; Actinopteri; Cypriniformes; Danionidae.